RNAcentral lists this ribosomal RNA (253 nucleotides) under uncultured bacterium. RNAcentral's name for it is "partial 16S ribosomal RNA". It matches the Rfam family "Bacterial small subunit ribosomal RNA", at positions 524 to 776 of the family's 1533-position model. The record is from RNAcentral.
UACGAAGGGGGCUAGCGUUGUUCGGAAUUACUGGGCGUAAAGGGCGCGUAGGCUGUGCUGUAAGUCAGGCGUGAAAGCCCCGGGCUCAACCUGGGAAUUGCGCUUGAUACUGCGGCGCUGGAAGGUGGGAGAGGAUGGCGGAAUUCCCAGUGUAGCGGUGAAAUGCGUAGAUAUAGGAAGGAACACCAGUGGCGAAGGCGACCACCUGGACUGAUACUGACACUGAGGUGCGAAAGCGUGGGGAGCAAACAGG